AAGCACUGAAGAAAGAAGAGACAGUGAUAUAUCUAAUGUAAAGAUCAGAGAGACAACCUUGUGCUUAAAGAUGUUCUCUCUUUGAAGUGCUGUCCAGUCCAGCUGCGCUCCUUCAAAGAGAAGAAGGAGCUUUAAGAAGGGAGAAUCCCAGAAUCUGGAAGUUGCUCAUCAAAUCACAGUAUCUCUAGCAUUGGUGCAUAUGUGAUAUGGAUAACUUGGUUCAAGAACUUGGCUUUGAGCUUUGGCAGUAAUCUUAGCCAAUCCAUGAUUUUCUGGAGAUAGUCCCGAAUGAUUUCAUACUUACGUCUGGAACAGGAUUGGGAGCAUCGAAAUUCUGUUCUCCCUUCAUUGAACAUCGGAAAACCAUAAAUGCCUACACCUUUAACAUUCAGCUAACUGAAAUAUGACAUUUCUAAGCAAGAUAUAUCC
This is a long non-coding RNA of Pantherophis guttatus, 429 nucleotides long. RefSeq lists it as uncharacterized. The record is from RefSeq and is a predicted model, not a curated record. NCBI's taxonomy places the organism in Eukaryota, Metazoa, Chordata, Lepidosauria, Squamata, Colubridae.